RNAcentral lists this long non-coding RNA (360 nucleotides) under Fukomys damarensis (Damara mole-rat). RNAcentral describes it as "lncRNA (ENSFDAG00000033376.1)". The record is from RNAcentral. Lineage: Eukaryota; Metazoa; Chordata; Mammalia; Rodentia; Bathyergidae.
GUGGGUUGGGGUGUGGACUGGCGAGUGUGUCCUUGAGCUCCUUAGCAUCUGCAGCCAAGGUGGCCCAUAAGGAGGAGCUGUGACAUGUGGCCUUGUCCUCGGAUGACCUGAAGACCUCUACUCCCAGGCCUGAGCUGCUCUGCUGGUCCUACCUAAACAGCCUCAUUGAUGGGAGCAGAGACCCUGUGCUCCUAGACUUCAGCAGGAGAUUAGGAGAACACGGAGUCCCUUGUACAGGCAGAAAGACAAGAGGGACUCACCCAGGAAAAAGGAAGAGAGCACCAAAGGGAAGACAGUAGCAGGCAAGUAGGACUGUAGGAUUACAGCAGCGGGCCACACCAUGGAGCUGAGAAGUUCGCA